AUGUUACAGCUACUGAGUCACGUUUUUGGAUUCCAUGUGACUUCAGAGCCAAAAAGAAGAGAGACAUUGUUACUAUUAUGUUACACCUUAAAGAAAAGACAACAGAUAGAAACCUCCCUUCCCAGCCGCUCAGUAUUUACAGCAGCCAUUCUGAAGUCUUUUGGAAACACGCUCCAUGUGCAUCUUUGGCAUGACCUGACUGACAACCAGCCAGAAGAUCUGAGCCGGGGGAAAAUGCAUGGCUAUCAAGUCUUGGCACAGUGGUGGACAAGAGCACAGCGAAUACCAUGCAUUCAAGGAGGUCCUUGUGUGUUGGCUCGUCAGCUCACCAAAGGACACCGUAGACAGCAGAUGAAGAUGAUAUACUCCACAACCUCAGAGACUGAAACUCAGUUUUCAAAAAUUGGUUUUCCAGUGAUAAUUAAACAAUUGCCAAAGCCUCAGUUAGCUUAGUAAGCUAAACAGUGGGUCAUGUGUUAUAGGCUUUCGUUCAUUACUGCCCUAUACAGAACUUGAGAAAGACCCCCUCUGAUGGCUUACCUUUUCCCUGUGAAGCAGAAAGGGAGGCUGUCAGCUCAAAGUGAGGAUGGAAAUGGAAGAGUUAAAAAAAACAGAUCAUCCUAAACCAUGAAUUUUAAAAGUAUUUUAACAGUGAAUUCUUAAAAAAAAAAAUACAUGUAUCUGCAGUGGCAAUCUGAUUAGAGUAUCAGCAUUUGAAAUUAAUCCUUUAAUCUACUACUCUAACAUUUAAUUUUAAGCAACAUACAUAAGGUUUAAGUACUACAUAUUAGGUGAUAUCAAGAUACGUUAGCUUAUACCUAGAAAAGAUGAUCCAAAGAUUUCCAGAUUUACUGACAAAAGAACACAUUGGCAAGCACACAUACACACAGAAAAGAAAAGGUUUAACUCAGCCGGGCACAGUGGCUCAAGCAUGUAAUCCCAGUACUUUGGGAGGCCAAGGCGGGUGGAUCACGAGGUCAAGAGAUAGAGACCAUCCUGGUCAACAUGGUGAAACCCGUCUCUACUAAAAAAUACAAAAUAUUAGCUGGGCACAGUGGAGCAUGCCUGUAAUCCCAGCUACUCAGGAGGCUGAGAAUUGCCUGAACCCAGGAGGCAGAGGUUGCGGUGAGCCGAGAUCACACCAUUGCACUCCAGCCUGGGUAACAAGAGCAAAACUCCAUCUCAAAAAAAAAAAAAAAAGGUUUAACUCUCACUCUAACAAAACUCUUCAUCAGAAUCUGAGUAGCUUCAUUCAAUAAGUGAAUGGGUAUGAUAUCUGGCAUGUAAUUAAGCCUAUGACUAAACAAAUAAGGCAAUGAUUUGUAAAACUUUUUGAACCACAGAAAAGUUAAAGCUAAAAGCUAUUCCCAGAAAAAUAUACAUACACAUCAAAUUUUACAAAUAAUUUCAGAGCAUUCACAGACCUCCAUAAAAUCUAUUCCAUCAGUUAGCCUUUGCUGUGUAACAAACCACCACAAAUGUUAUGGUUUAAAAAACACUAUUUAUCUGAAAAUUUUAGGGGCCAACAAUUUAGGCUGGACCCAGCUGGGCAGCUCUUUGGGUCAUGUCUGUGUUCUCUCAUAACGUCUGUGGUGAGCCACAGAUCAAGUAGUUAGAUCUGCUUCUGAAUUUUGGCUCUAAGAGGCUAGAACACUUUGGCUAGCUCCACAUGGUCUGUGAUCUUCUAGCAAGUUGCCCAGAUUUAUUAUCAUGGUGGAGAUAGAUGCCUGAAAGAGAAUGAAAAUACACAAAGCCUCUUGAGGACUAAUACCAGAAUUGGUGCUACUGCCUAGUUCUUUUGACCAAAGCAUGUCACAAGUUAGGCCCACAUUCGAGGGGCUGGGAAAUAGACUCUACCUCUUACAUAAGGUGUUACAAAAUCAUAUCGCAAGAAACAUUAUUACAGGGAGGAAUAAAAAAUUAAGACCAAUUUUUCAACCAGUUUAUCAUACCUACCAUGAACCUAGGCUAAUAAUUUUCUACAAUGAAAAUGAAGUAAUAUGGUUUAAAAAAUAAACAGAAGUUUAUUUUUAUAAACAUACAAGUACAGAAAUGAAUUACUGUUUGCAUUUCAGAACAUGUUCUUGUACUGUCAAGUCUAGAACCAAUAGAUACAGGACUUCAAGACUUCCCAUGUGUCUCAUUUCUUUGUGAUCCUAUAGUAAGUAACACUAACAUUUCCUGCUAAACCAGAAUCCUAGAAAGAAGCAUUUUUACAAAAAUGAAGAAAACUUCAGGACAACAAAAAGUCUAAACAGGAAAUACUGAAUGUACAGUGUAUCCUGGUGUGUGAUGAUUUACCCAGUGAUUGAAAUAGCAUUAUCAAAAAUCAGCUGUUAGUAGAUUUGAGUACCUUCAUGUUUUCCUUCUGUGGAAAGAACAGAAAAGAAAAUAAUUGACUGUAGAAAUCUCAGUAAAUAAUUGGCAAUUGGUGACUGAAUUUAGGCAAAAUGUAUGUCCUUUAUUUGGGUACAUUUAGUUUACAUCACAUUUGGUAACUGACUUUGCCAUUACCAAAGAGUAUACAUGUCUAGUUAGAUUUUCUUUGAUACCCUAAUGCUGUAAUUUUUCUUACAUGCUUUUUGUUUUUAAUUACAAUAGAAUGGGUGCAAUGACUGAAUCCACAUGGAUGAAUCCUCCAUCUCACCCCAACUCCCUCCCUACAAUCCUCUAUUGGUUUCCUACUGCUGCAUAACAAAUUGCCACAAAUUAAGUAGCUUAACACAAAAUCAAUUUGUUAUCUUAUAGUUCUGGAGGCCAGACAUCUGAAAUGAGUCUCACUAGGCUAAACUCAGUGUGUCAACGGGCUGCAUUCCUUUCUGGAGGCUCUAAGGAGCCUCCAUUUUCCUGCCUUUUUUCAGCUCCUGUAGGCUGCCUGUAUUUUUUAGCUCAUGUCCUCCCACUUCCACUUUAAAGAACUCUUGUGAUUGCAUUGGAUUCACUCAGAUAAUCUAGGAUAAUUUCCCCAUUUUAAGGUCAGAUAAUUGCAAACCUUAAUUCUAUCUUCUACCUUAAUUACCCUUUGCCACGCAAAUGCAUAUUCACAAGUUCCAAGGAUUAGGACACGGACAUCUUUGGGAGCCAUAAUUGUGCCUACCACAAACCCAAGCCCAUAUCACCUCAUUUCUCAGGCUACUUUAAAUAUUGAUGCCUAGUGAUGUGAACCAAUUCUUCCCAAGAGAGGCUUUGUAGUACAUGUCUACAUUAAGAGGAGGUUCUUUAAGAAGCCAAAUGGCAUCUUCCCAAUGCAAACUCUAGAAAUGCUAACUAUAUUGCCACUGAAAUGUAAAAGAAUGUAUCAUGGUUUUAUCAGCCAUAAGCAGGGGCACUUGAAAGAGUAGAUUUCAGAUUCGUUAUAUACUAUGGAUUAAAUGCAUCAUGCUUGAUUAUUGAUAAGCUGCUUGAUUUAUCAUAAACCUUCUGCAAGUCUCCUGCUUAUUUUUACCACUUUAUUUGCAAAAUGUUCAUAAUCAUUGCUUCUUAUUUUGAGUUAGGGAUCAAUGUCAUGAGUUAAUUUUUUAAACUGCUAAAUGAAGAUAACAAGAUUAGUCUUUGAUCUCAACUUAAACUCGUAUAAAAAUGAUUCUGCCCAUCUACAAACAAACAUGAGGCUUACUCAAAUCCUGUGAUUUAAUUCUUUUUUUUUUUUUUUGAGAUGGAGUUUCACUCCUGUUACCCAGGCUGGAGUGCAAUGGCACCAUCUCGGCUCACCACAACCUCCGCCUCCUGGGUUCUAGCAAUUAUCCUGCCUCAGCCUCCUGAGUAGCGGGGAUUACAGGCACACGCCACCAUGCCCAGCUAAUUUUUGUAUUUUUAGUAGAGACAGGGUUUUACCUUGUUGGCCAGGAUAAUCUCGAUCUCUUGACCUCGUGAUUCACCCGCCUCGGCCUCCCAAAGUGCUGGGAUUACAGGCAUGAGCCACUGCGCCCGGCCGAUUUAAUUCUUUACUUCCAGAGAACAAGCAUGGUCUAGUUCAGUGUAUAAUGAAAUAUGACAGGUGGAAGGCAGCAAUUCUAAACCAGAGAAAAAUAAUAACUAACUAGAAAAGACAAAAAGAGGAAAGAAAAAAGACCUGGGAAGAAAGGAGAGAGUAACUAUUGCAAUAAAAUGGGAGAGAGCAUUAAUUUCCUUGGGGAUUAAACAGUGGUUAAAUAGUAGCUUCCUUCCUUUUUACUUAAUAUGACUUAAUUUAAAAUAUUGAUAUAAAAUGCACAAUGUUAUACUUGAAAGCAUAAGGAAAUAUGAGAAUAAAUAAAUGCUGACUUGGAAGUUGGAUUAUUAUAUGAGGCAGCAGCUCUUUUUGCUAUGUAUUCCAUUUAUAAAACUAUAUUUUUCUCCACUAAGAAAUGUUCACUCAAAACCUGAUGUGGAAUGUGUAGAUAUUCCCAUACCAGUAGAAAUUUGGGAGGAAGAAUUAUAGUCGUGUAUAAUUAUACUUAUUAGCUCAGUAUUUAUUUAGUUAAUGAACACUAAGUAUAUUCAGAUAAAUCUCGGUGUAUUAAUCAGGGUUCCCUAGAGGGACAGAACUAAUAGGAUAUGUAUAUAUAUCCUAUUUGUGUAUAUAUGCAUAUAUAUAUAUACAUAUAUGUAUAUAUGCAUAUAUAUAUAUACAUAUAUGUAUAUAUAUCCUAUUUGUGUAUAUAUGCAUACAAAUAGAAUAUAUAUAUAUAUUUAUAUAUAUCCUAUAUACAUAUAUAAAUGCUAAUAGGAUAUAUAUAUCCCAUUUGUGUGUG
Molecule: long non-coding RNA, 4733 nt
Organism: Callithrix jacchus (white-tufted-ear marmoset)
Lineage: Eukaryota; Metazoa; Chordata; Mammalia; Primates; Cebidae
Source: Ensembl